AUCAAUAAGCGGAGGAAAAGAAACUAACAAGGAUUCCCCUAGUAACUGCGAGUGAAGCGGGAAAAGCUCAAAUUUAAAAUCUGGCGGUCUUUGGCCGUCCGAGUUGUAGUCUGGAGAAGUGCUUUCCGCGCUGGACCGUGUACAAGUCUCUUGGAACAGAGCGUCGUAGAGGGUGAGAAUCCCGUCUUUGACACGGACUACCAGUGCUUUGUGAUGCGCUCUCAAAGAGUCGAGUUGUUUGGGAAUGCAGCUCAAAAUGGGUGGUGAAUUCCAUCUAAAGCUAAAUAUUGGCGAGAGACCGAUAGCGAACAAGUACCGUGAGGGAAAGAUGAAAAGCACUUUGGAAAGAGAGUUAAACAGUACGUGAAAUUGCUGAAAGGGAAACGCUUGAAGUCAGUCGCGUCGUUCAGAACUCAGCCUUGCUUUCGCUUGGUGCAUUUUCUGACUGACGGGCCAGCAUCGAUUUUGAUCGUCGGAAAAGGGCUGGAGUAAUGUGGCACCUUCGGGUGUGUUAUAGACUCUGGUCGCAUACGACGGUUGGGAUCGAGGAACGCAGCGCGCCGUAAGGCAGGGGUUCGUCCCACUUUCGCGCUUAGGAUGCUGGCAUAAUGGCUUUAAACGACCCGUCUUGAAACACGGACCAAGGAGUCUAACAUGCCUGCGAGUGUUUGGGUGGAAAACCCGAGCGCGUAAUGAAAGUGAAAGUUGAGACCUCUGUCGUGGAGGGCAUCGACGCCCGGACCUGACGUUCUCUGACGGAUCCGCGGUAGAGCAUGUAUGUUGGGACCCGAAAGAUGGUGAACUAUGCCUGAAUAGGGUGAAGCCAGAGGAAACUCUGGUGGAGGCUCGUAGCGAUUCUGACGUGCAAAUCGAUCGUCAAAUUUGGGUAUAGGGGCGAAAGACUAAUCGAACCAUCUAGUAGCUGGUUCC
This 930-nucleotide ribosomal RNA is filed under the name Poriella subacida. Its description in RNAcentral is "partial 28S ribosomal RNA". It matches the Rfam family "Eukaryotic large subunit ribosomal RNA", at positions 42 to 958 of the family's 3401-position model. The record is from RNAcentral. Lineage: Eukaryota; Fungi; Basidiomycota; Agaricomycetes; Polyporales; Polyporaceae.